GUUUUUUAAUUGAAUUUCGAUAAAUAGUCUUACAUUUGGAACUGGGAAUACAUGUGUACAAUGUGCACAGUGAAUAUUUGUUGUAAAUAGUUUACAAAUCCAAGUAAUUGUAACUUUAGAAGUUGUUGAAUCUGACUUACAACGGUGUAAAGUUAUCAGCGGGUUUCCUGGAAGAACUACAUUUCCCAUAAUGCAUGUUUUCCCGGGAGAUGACGUGGGGGAACGACCAUGAGUUUGAACUGUCUCGUGGAGUCUGAAACGUUCUUUAUGUCUAUGGUCCGAAAGCAUAACGUUAACUUAUCCCUGCUUCCCGGUUUCUGCCGGUUGUUGUUUUCACUGUUCGCUGGUAAUGCAUAUAUUGGACUUCAAAGAGUGCUACGGAGAGUCAGCGUUUCACCAUCACACAGUUGGUGUCUGAUAGGAACAACGUGAUGUAAAUAUGAGACGGGAUCUCGUCCUUCGUGCACUUCCUUGGUACCUGCGUGAAGAUGCCUCCAAGUUCUUCAGGACCUGUAAUUCAGGAGAUGGUCCAGACCUCACUGACACUCCAGUGGCUCUCCUGACAGUCGUAACGGAUAACACUACUGAUGCGGCCCUCUUCAGCCCUGAGAGCAUCUGUAUUGUCGUGGAGGAUGAAAUACUUGCGAGUGGUUCCACAAAUCUGGCUGACUCAUUUCUCCUGCUCUUUGGGUACGUCUAUGCACUAGACCUACAGUACCCAAAGAAUCUCGAGCAUUUACAUUUAUACAAAAAGUUGUAAUGUGUCUUGAGGACAACAUUAUAACUACUACUGACGCUGAAGAAUGAUUUGUUCAAUGAGUGAAUCACUCAGAAUGGACUAUUUCUUGAGCUGAGUAUUGAGGACGUUUGUUGUUUUUGCCUCA
This is a long non-coding RNA of Micropterus salmoides (largemouth bass), 884 nucleotides long. RefSeq lists it as uncharacterized. The transcript has 4 exons. The record is from RefSeq and is a predicted model, not a curated record. NCBI's taxonomy places the organism in Eukaryota, Metazoa, Chordata, Actinopteri, Centrarchiformes, Centrarchidae.